RNAcentral lists this ribosomal RNA (305 nucleotides) under uncultured bacterium. RNAcentral's name for it is "bacterial SSU rRNA". It matches the Rfam family "Bacterial small subunit ribosomal RNA", at positions 335 to 659 of the family's 1533-position model. The record is from RNAcentral.
AUCCUACGGGAGCAGCAGUGGGGAAUAUUGCACAAUGGGGGAAACCCUGAUGCAGCGAUGCCGCGUGGAGGAAGAAGGUUUUCGGAUUGUAAACUCCUUUUAUCAGGGACGAUAAUGACGGUACCUGAAGAAAAAGCUCCGGCUAACUACGUGCCAGCAGCCGCGGUAAUACGUAGGGGGCAAGCGUUAUCCGGAUUCACUGGGCGUAAAGGGAGCGCAGGCGGCAUGGCAAGUCUGAUGUGAAAACCCGGGGCCCAACCCCGGGAGUGCAGUGGAAACUGCCAGGCUGGAGUGUCGGCGGGGUA